RNAcentral lists this small RNA (135 nucleotides) under metagenome. RNAcentral describes it as "Environmental sequence c-di-AMP sequence". It matches the Rfam family "c-di-AMP riboswitch aptamer (ydaO/yuaA leader)". From Rfam's summary of the family: This family represents a conserved RNA structure found upstream of the ydaO and yuaA genes in Bacillus subtilis and related genes in other bacteria. The ydaO/yuaA element is thought to act as a genetic "off" switch for the ydaO and yuaA genes in its native state. The record is from Rfam by way of RNAcentral.
ACAACUAAAACGCUCAAUUCCCGAGAAGGGGAGCGGGGGACCCAAUCCGUUGGGGCGAAUGGUCCGCUUGGACCUAGGGCAAGCUCUUCAUGCCCGAGCCCGACAGCUAACCCCGUAAGCGUGGCGAGAAGAGCU